AUUGAACGCUGGCGGCAUGCUUUACACAUGCCAGUCGAACGGCAGCGCGGGCUUCGGCCUGGCGGCGAGUGGCGAACGGGUGAGUAAUACAUCGGAACGUGCCCAGUAGUGGGGGAUAGCUCGGCGAAAGCCGGAUUAAUACCGCAUACGACCUGAGGGUGAAAGCGGGGGAUCUUCGGACCUCGCGCUAUUGGAGCGGCCGAUGGCAGAUUAGCUAGUUGGUGGGGUAAAGGCCUACCAAGGCGACGAUCUGUAGCUGGUCUGAGAGGACGACCAGCCACACUGGGACUGAGACACGGCCCAAACUCCUACGGGAGGCAGCAGUGGGGAAUUUUGGACAAUGGGCGAAAGCCUGAUCCAGCAAUGCCGCGUGUGUGAUGAAGGCCUUCGGGUUGUAAAGCACUUUUGGCGGGAACGAAAAGGACUGUGCCAAUACCACGGUUCGAUGACGGUACCCGCAGAAUAAGCACCGGCUAACUACGUG
RNAcentral lists this ribosomal RNA (484 nucleotides) under uncultured bacterium. RNAcentral describes it as "partial 16S ribosomal RNA". It matches the Rfam family "Bacterial small subunit ribosomal RNA", at positions 29 to 507 of the family's 1533-position model. The record is from RNAcentral.